Molecule: ribosomal RNA, 255 nt
Filed under: uncultured bacterium
Lineage: Bacteria
Description: partial 16S ribosomal RNA
Rfam family: Bacterial small subunit ribosomal RNA
Source: RNAcentral
UACGUAGGGUCCGAGCGUUGUCCGGAAUUAUUGGGCGUAAAGGGCUCGUAGGCGGUUUGUCGCGUCGGGGAGUGAAAAACACGGGGCUUAACCCCGUGCCUGCUUCCGAUACGGGCAGACUAGAGGUAUGCAGGGGAGAACGGAAUUCCUGGUGUAGCGGUGAAAUGCGCAGAUAUCAGGAGGAACACCGGUGGCGAAGGCGGUUCUCUGGGCAUUACCUGACGCUGAGGAGCGAAAGUGUGGGGAGCGAACAGG